RNAcentral lists this long non-coding RNA (1039 nucleotides) under Homo sapiens (human). RNAcentral's name for it is "HSALNT0144578". The record is from RNAcentral. Lineage: Eukaryota; Metazoa; Chordata; Mammalia; Primates; Hominidae.
GUAUCUAAAGGGCUAUACCCCUUCUGAAGUCUCUAGGGAAAAUCAUUUCCUUGACUUUUUCAUUUCUGGAGGCUCCUUGCAUUUCAGGCUCAUGGCCCCUUUCCUCCAUCUCUAAGCCAGCAGCAGCCCCUGCUUUCUUUUGCAUGGUUUCUCUCUGUCCUUAAAAUUGGCCCCAGAUUUCAUACAGAAUAUCUGAAUGAAACAAAGGCAAAGCUUUAGUGGUGAGCAUGAGAUGGCAAGUCUUUUCUUCAUAAUCAUCAUAACAGAAAGCAACUGUACCCAUUAUCUACCCAGUAGGACCUUGACCUCUUUAAGAACCAGGGAUGAGUUGACAGGAAAGGAAAGUGGAGUGUAAACCAGUGCUUCAAAACCAGCAGCUGCCACAAACUGUAGUGACCUUUCAGUGUCCCGCCGACUUCCACUCUCUUGCUUCCAGCAGGAGUUAGAAUCUAACAUUUCUUUACAAUGACCUCUCUAACUUCUUGGACUCAAGGGUCUUAGAGAAAACGAAAGACAAAGGAACCAUCUUCUUCCUUGAGGUCAACAAUGGAAGGAGACGUAGAAGACACCAAAACAAGAACUUGGCAGGCUCAGGACAUGACAACGGAGACACAGUUUACAGGACCUCAUUCGCACUCCAAUGACAAUGAAAGGAAGGGGGUGUUGGGCAGAGAAGCAAAGAGCUCCGGUUCUCACCAUCACAUGGUAGCGGGUGUAAGUUUGUUCCCAACAUACCAGACAGAGAGCAACUCUCACCAGAGAAGAUCCCAAUGUGUUUUAUGCUAGAUCUGACUUUAAUUAAGUGUAGACAAUGCUCCCAUCAGUGCUGGAACUGGCCCCGGUAACUUGCUUUAGCUGAUGGAAUGUUACCAAACACAACAUGAUCAAAGGCUUGAGAGAUGAUUUCCCUCCUGUGCUUCCGCAAUUACCAUGAAAAGAACAUGGCCUGGUGGUCCCUGAUCCCCAAAGAAUGACGGACACCUGGAAAAAGCUUGGAGUAACAGAUUCAUGAGCAAGAAUAAAUAAUUAUUGUUUUAAU